RNAcentral lists this long non-coding RNA (820 nucleotides) under Marmota monax (woodchuck). Lineage: Eukaryota; Metazoa; Chordata; Mammalia; Rodentia; Sciuridae. The record is from RNAcentral.
CCCUAAGCAACUCAGCGAGACCCUGUCUCUAAAUAAAAUAUAGAUAAGGGCUGGAGAUGUGGCUCAGUGGGUAAGCGCUCCUGGGUUCAAUCCCCAGUUUAAAAAAAAAAAAAGAUAAUGACUAAAUGGAAACAACCCCAUUGUCACAAAAUGAAAUAAACAUACAAGGCAUUUUAAAUGAGUGACUGCAUUAGGUGGAUCAGUAGAGGAAGAUCCAAAAGCCAUUAUGUGGGGUGAAUCACAGGACAUUGCUGAAGGCUGCCCGCAACACACCGUUUGAAUAAAUUUCCCAAACAUGCAAAGUGCUCCUUUUAUUGCUCAUGUACAGCAUGUAGAGUCAAAGUCCAAAAACGUGUCUGGUUAUAAUGACAAUCACCAGACCUUGACAGUGGUCGCCUCUGAGCUGAGUGGCAGGGGUGACGGGAUAGAGUGGGGACAGGGGCUUCCAUUCUGUGUCACAUAUCAUUUCUCAUUUAGACAAACAAAAAUAAACCCAAAGAAAGUGUGACCCUCCAGGAGGAUUUGACAGAACUGAGUGGCGGGUAUAUCAACGUUCACACUAAAAUCAACCAUCUUCCAGAUUACCAGCAACAUACAAUUCAGUAAUCUUAUGAUUUUAAAUAUCUAGACAACCUAAAAAAAAAAAAAACGGGAAAAUAUGGAAGAGAAAACAUUUCUCUGUUUGGGGCAGGGAGAGCUUUAUCAGGAGUUAAUGUUUUGGACUGUGGGGAAGGAGGGUUUGGGGGGCGGCUCUCCUGCAUUGACCAAGGCCUGGUCAUGAGUUCCUGGCUCUGAAAAGUUCUAUGUCAGAAAGGUUCUG